GACGAACGCUGGCGGCGUGCUUAACACAUGCAAGUCGAACGGAAAGGCCCUGCUUUUGUGGGGUGCUCGAGUGGCGAACGGGUGAGUAACACGUGAGUAACCUGCCCUUGACUUUGGGAUAACUUCAGGAAACUGGGGCUAAUACCGGAUAGGAGCUCCUGCUGCAUGGUGGGGGUUGGAAAGUUUCGGCGGUUGGGGAUGGACUCGCGGCUUAUCAGCUUGUUGGUGGGGUAGUGGCUUACCAAGGCUUUGACGGGUAGCCGACCUGAGAGGGUGACCGGCCACAUUGGGACUGAGAUACGGCCCAGACUCCUACGGGAGGCAGCAGUGGGGAAUAUUGCACAAUGGGCGGACGCCUGAUGCGGCAACGCCGCGUGCGGGAUGACGGCCUUCGGGUUGUAAACCGCUUUCGCCUGUGACGAAGCGUGAGUGACGGUAAUGGGUAAAGAAGCACCGGCUAACUACGUG
RNAcentral lists this ribosomal RNA (468 nucleotides) under uncultured bacterium. RNAcentral's name for it is "partial 16S ribosomal RNA". It matches the Rfam family "Bacterial small subunit ribosomal RNA", at positions 28 to 507 of the family's 1533-position model. The record is from RNAcentral.